RNAcentral lists this ribosomal RNA (467 nucleotides) under uncultured bacterium. Its description in RNAcentral is "partial 16S ribosomal RNA". It matches the Rfam family "Bacterial small subunit ribosomal RNA", at positions 28 to 507 of the family's 1533-position model. The record is from RNAcentral.
GAUGAACGCUGACAGAAUGCUUAACACAUGCAAGUCAACUUGAAUUUGGGUUUUUAACUUAGGUUUGGGUGGCGGACGGGUGAGUAACGCGUAAAGAACUUGCCUCACAGCUAGGGACAACAUUUGGAAACGAAUGCUAAUACCUAAUAUUAUGAUAGUAGGGCAUCCUAUAAUUAUGAAAGCUAUAAGCGCUGUGAGAGAGCUUUGCGUCCCAUUAGCUAGUUGGAGAGGUAACGGCUCACCAAGGCGAUGAUGGGUAGCCGGCCUGAGAGGGUGAUCGGCCACAAGGGGACUGAGACACGGCCCUUACUCCUACGGGAGGCAGCAGUGGGGAAUAUUGGACAAUGGACCGAGAGUCUGAUCCAGCAAUUCUGUGUGCACGAUGAAGUUUUUCGGAAUGUAAAGUGCUUUCAGUUGGGAAGAAACAAAUGACGGUACCAACAGAAGAAGUGACGGCUAAAUACGUG